UCCGGCUUAACGCCGGCAGUCUCCCUAGAGUGCCCAACUGAAUGGUGGCAACUAAGGACGAGGGUUGCGCUCGUUGCGGGACUUAACCCAACACCUCACGGCACGAGCUGACGACAGCCAUGCAGCACCUGAACCAGCGGUCCCCGAAGGGAAAGUCCUAUUUCUAGGACGGUCCACUGUUGUCUAGCCCAGGUAAGGUGGGGAUGACGUCACACAGACUAUAC
Molecule: unclassified non-coding RNA, 224 nt
Filed under: uncultured delta proteobacterium
Lineage: Bacteria; Deltaproteobacteria
Description: contains 16S-23S intergenic spacer region
Source: RNAcentral